GAUCCGGAAUUUUGCAGCACCAGCAAUUGAAACUUACACGAUUGCAGCUGCUUCAAACAGGUACUGGCUUAAACCGGGGAAGCUAAUGAGCCGCCGUCUCUCAACCCGACCUACCUGGCAGGGUUGUUAUGUGGAAAAUAGAGAGUGCUAGGCUAGGCUUUCCACCCUGAACCUCUGAGGAAAGAUGGGAUGUACAGCGAUCAAAUAAGGAAUUGGGUGGGCUUCUCAGUUCAAGAUGGUUGAAUUUUGGCUCUUCUUUCAGUACCAGAAUGCCUGGCCUGGCGAGAGCCCUCCGGUUGGGGAGCAGAGGUUGCCACCCAAGGAUUAUAUGGUGGAAUCCGUACUGGUGACCAUUUUUCUGCUGCUUGUUCACGGGACUGGUAGCCCUCGUCUAUUCCCACGAGACCCGGGCCGCUCUGAAUCGAGGUGACCUCAUCCAAGCCACGAUGGCUUCCCACAAAGCUCGCUCGCUCGUCUUGUUCAGUCUCUUCUUCGGCCUCUUUGUGUCCAUCAGCUGGAUCAUCUACGUGGUGGUAACCUUGUAUCUAUGAUCCAGUGGGUUGGGAUGGACCUUAGGGUUUCCUACAAAGUGGUGAUACGGAGCCUUCAUCCUUUUCAACCAGCUUGGGAACCAAUUUCUCUUGUUGGCACUUUCUUCUUGUCUCUUCUCCAAAACCAACCACAUCAACAUCUUUCAAGAAGGAACGAUUGUUGUCCUAAAGUGAUGAGAUCCCUCACCACCAAGCUGGAAAGAGGACUUCAAAGUGCAAAGCACUGAUCUACCUUCUUUCAAACCUUACUGAAGCCAACUUAAUUGUUAUUUCAUUAGUCUUAAUUCAAAAAAAUGCACCAACAGUCUGAUCCAAGAAGGAUUUUAAAGGAGAUACCAGACUCUUCUUGGAAAAGCUUCAGGUUAUCCUUGGGUCAGGUCAGGAGGGCGAUCCUUGGUCCAUGGGUUCUCCAGGCUUCGAGAUCGAAUCAGGGGCACUGCCCUGCGAAGACAUCAGGAAUUCCAAACUGACUUUUAUUGAGGAUGCUGAAUUAGGAACAAUAAAUGCUGGAAGGAUUUUUGCCCA
Pantherophis guttatus is the source of this 1076-nucleotide non-coding RNA. The record is from RefSeq and is a predicted model, not a curated record. Lineage: Eukaryota; Metazoa; Chordata; Lepidosauria; Squamata; Colubridae.